Molecule: long non-coding RNA, 1487 nt
Organism: Symphalangus syndactylus (siamang)
Lineage: Eukaryota; Metazoa; Chordata; Mammalia; Primates; Hylobatidae
Source: RefSeq, a predicted model, not a curated record
AUAGAACUGUGAGAUAAUAAUAUGUAUUUUUUUAAGCUGCUAAAUUUGUAGUAAUUUGUUACAGCAGCAAUGGAAACAAAUAUACCCAAGUUUCACAUAAAUAUGCGCACCCUCACUGUCUAUCCUGGUGGUGACUUGUGCUGGGAAUGUCAUGAAUUUUUUCCAUAUGACCACCCAUACUUCAGAUCCACACUGAUGUAAAGAUUUAUGAAGUCUGUUGAGCUUUCCGAGGGCCGUCAUUUCUUCUGCCCUCUCCCUGACCUCAGUCUGGUUGCACUAGGGGUAGGGGUCUUAGUUUGCCUUAUUUUCCUCUUACCUGUAUUUUAUCAGUGAAGGAAUGCAGAGGACUGUGGAGAUGGGACUUCUGGCAGUGCAGAGAGCAUAGGCAGAAAUGGGAAAUCACUUGGUUGUGGUGAAUUAGCUUGUCACCUGAGGGACAGGGGGAAUUAGCACAGAGGGAGCUCCCACCAGGGCACUGAACUCCUAUAUUAGGUUCUCCAGGUUGAGAUGUGUGAGUGCAAAGAGUGAAACUGCAUUUGGAAAUCCUGAGGUCCUUAGAGCAAAGGAGCUCGGCCUCCAUCCUACAGUAGCAAGAAUUGUUGGAGGCUCUCAGCAGGGGUCCUGGAUUCUCCAAUGACAUAUUUAUUCUUUCUCUUCUGCAUCUCUGUUGAAGCACGUGUGCUCCUUUUACCAAUUAUGAGAUUUUUUUCUGAUCUUCUGUCUAACAAUAACUUACUCUGAGCAGACACUCUGUAGUCUCAAUAUGUAAUAUUUUUUAUCUAUGUGCAGCUGCACACCUGUGCUAUAGCCUUGAGGCCUGAAUAGAAGCCGACUUCUCCACUGGGAGGUUUCCCUACAUUACCACUCUGUGAGUUAGAAGCUUCUUCUAUCCCAGUGCCUGACUCUAACAAUCUGAACUGAUGAAAGUUCGGCGAGUUCCAGGUUCUUGUCCCACGACCAAGAGGAAUAACACGCGUGGACACUGGAGAUUGAGGAAACUGAGACACAAAAAGACACAAAAGACGCAUACCCAGCUUUAGUGUCUUGCCCAAAGAAUCCAAGGCUCUCCAGUGCUGGAUAGGUUUUUUUAAUCCCCAGAGGAGCUAGAGACACCUUAAAUGCUAUGCCAUUUGCACCCAAGCAUGAAAAGUCUUCCCGGUAGCCAAAAAAUGUAAUUUAAUUCACUCCUACUUGGAUUUCCACCUGGACUUCAUCAUGCAACAAUGAGAAAAGAACAUGUUAAAUGCCUACAGCCUAUAUAACAUUUUUAAUGAAAUGUUGGUAUGCCCCUCUACCAAAUGGUCUAAAAAGACAAAACCCUUCUGCAAAGUAAAAAGCUAUUUGUGGGAAUCAGAAAGAUAUGUGGCUUUAAGCAAUAUGUCUAUUUAAGCAAAAUAUCAGGGGUUCUUCAUUUAAUAAAUGUAUGUUCACAGUCAGAACAUCUAAGUAAAAGCAUAUAUGGAAUUAAAGUUCAGUUUAAACAGUAA